UACGUAGGGGGCAAGCGUUAUCCGGAUUUACUGGGUGUAAAGGGCGUGUAGGCGGGAAAGCAAGUCAGAUGUGAAAACCACGGGCUCAACCUGUGGCCUGCAUUUGAAACUGACGGUCUUGAGUGGGCGAGAAGUAUGCGGAAUGCGUGGUGUAGCGGUGAAAUGCAUAGAUAUCACGCAGAACUCCGAUUGCGAAGGCAGCAUACCGGCGCUCAACUGACGCUGAGGCACGAAAGUGCGGGUAGCGAGCAGG
Molecule: ribosomal RNA, 253 nt
Filed under: uncultured bacterium
Lineage: Bacteria
Description: partial 16S ribosomal RNA
Rfam family: Bacterial small subunit ribosomal RNA
Source: RNAcentral